GACUGGUCCGAAGUUAGUGAGUUAUCUCGAUUGUUCACAGUUACAGAUCAAACUCCUUGUUCUACUCUACCCCCUUCUCACUUCUGCACUUGACUAGUGUUAA
Unclassified non-coding RNA from Piliocolobus tephrosceles (Ugandan red Colobus), 103 nucleotides. It matches the Rfam family "Y RNA". Rfam says of the family: Y RNAs are components of the Ro ribonucleoprotein particle (Ro RNP), in association with Ro60 and La proteins. The Y RNAs and Ro60 and La proteins are well conserved, but the function of the Ro RNP is not known. NCBI's taxonomy places the organism in Eukaryota, Metazoa, Chordata, Mammalia, Primates, Cercopithecidae. The record is from Ensembl.